CUGCACCUGAGCCCGAAAUUGUCCCCAACAAACCCAACACCCGCAGGGCUGACGUUUGGACUCCGGGGUGCGGUGUCGAUGAAAUGGGCACCGCGUGCUUUCCAUGCAAAAGACACGAAGUCUGGAGUUUAUGGAAUUAUUGAAGGAAAGCCGCGCCAGUGCCAAGAGAUCAUGGCCCAGAGCUGGCAGAACUGAUCAGACCAAUGCUGAGCAAAAGGCCUGAAGAAGACCAUCUGGAGGAGCAUCCCGAGGGCCUUCCCCAAAGCACCAGAUCGCCUUCCUUUCCGAGGCCACAAAGGCGAGAACUUCCAGAAAUAGCAUGAAACACGGUGGCUUGGUGACAUCCAAGCCUGCUGCCACCGUGGUUUCCGGGAAGGCAGAAUCAAGGCAUGAAGUAAUCCACGCCAACCACGCUCCUCUGAGGGCUGAGCAAGACAUCGAUAGUGGGUGAAGGCAAGUGUUUGUCCCAGGAGAGGCCCAGGGUGGUUGGUCCCUUGAAGUCACCCGCCAGUCUGAAGGCCCAGGGGACUUGAGCAAUACCAAGAACUGGCCACGGUCAGUAGGGUAAAUAUUGGCAUCUUACCUGCAGAAGGGAGGGAUGCAGCGAGCGAGG
Molecule: long non-coding RNA, 613 nt
Filed under: Homo sapiens (human)
Lineage: Eukaryota; Metazoa; Chordata; Mammalia; Primates; Hominidae
Description: non-protein coding lnc-TRIM16-2:4
Source: RNAcentral